RNAcentral lists this ribosomal RNA (492 nucleotides) under uncultured bacterium. RNAcentral's name for it is "partial 16S ribosomal RNA". It matches the Rfam family "Bacterial small subunit ribosomal RNA", at positions 29 to 507 of the family's 1533-position model. The record is from RNAcentral.
AGUGAACGCUGGCGGUAGGCCUAACACAUGCAAGUCGAACGGCAGCACAGUAAGAGCUUGCUCUUACGGGUGGCGAGUGGCGGACGGGUGAGGAAUACAUCGGAAUCUACUUUUUCGUGGGGGAUAACGUAGGGAAACUUACGCUAAUACCGCAUACGACCUACGGGUGAAAGCAGGGGAUCUUCGGACCUUGCGCGAGUGAAUGAGCCGAUGUCGGAUUAGCUAGUUGGCGGGGUAAAGGCCCACCAAGGCGACGAUCCGUAGCUGGUCUGAGAGGAUGAUCAGCCACACUGGAACUGAGACACGGUCCAGACUCCUACGGGAGGCAGCAGUGGGGAAUAUUGGACAAUGGGCGGAAGCCUGAUCCAGCCAUACCGCGUGGGUGAAGAAGGCCUUCGGGUUGUAAAGCCCUUUUGUUGGGAAAGAAAAGCAGCAGGUUAAUACCCCGCUGUUCUGACGGUACCCAAAGAAUAAGCACCGGCUAACUUCGCG